CCUACGGGAGGCAGCAGUGGGGAAUAUUGGGCAAUGGACGCAAGUCUGACCCAGCAACGCCGCGUGAAGGAAGAAGGCUUUCGGGUUGUAAACUUCUUUUAAGGGGGAAGAGCAGAAGACGGUACCCCUUGAAUAAGCCACGGCUAACUACGUGCCAGCAGCCGCGGUAAUACGUAGGUGGCAAGCGUUGUCCGGUUUUACUGGGUGAAAGGGGCGUGCAGCCGGGAAGAAAAGUCAGUUGUGAAAUCCCGCGGCUCACCCGCGGAACUGCAUUUGAAACUGUUUUGCUUGGUUAUCGGCAGGUAAUCGGAAUUCCUAGUGUAGCGGUGAAAUGCGUAGAUAUUAGGAAGAACACCAGUGGCGAAGGCGGAUUACUGGACGACAACUGACGGUGAGGCGCGAAAGCGUGGGGAGCAAACAGGAUUAGAUACCCCUGUAGUC
Molecule: ribosomal RNA, 441 nt
Filed under: uncultured bacterium
Lineage: Bacteria
Description: partial 16S ribosomal RNA
Rfam family: Bacterial small subunit ribosomal RNA
Source: RNAcentral